UCAGGAUGAAUGCUGGCGGCGUGCUUAACACAUGCAAGUCGAACGCUGAAGCUCCCAGCUUGCUGGGGGUGGAUGAGUGGCGAACGGGUGAGUAUCACGUGAGUAACCUGCCCUUGACUCUGGGAUAAGCCCGGGAAACUGGGUCUAAUACUGGAUAGGACUGGCCAUCGCAUGGUGGUUGGUUGAAAGCUUUUGCGGUUUUGGAUGGACUCGCGGCCUAUCAGCUUGUUGGUGGGGUAAUGGCCUACCAAGGCUUUGACGGGUAGCCGGCCUGAGAGGGUGACCGGCCACACUGGGACUGAGACACGGCCCAGACUCCUACGGGAGGCAGCAGUGGGGGAUAUUGCACAAUGGGCGCAAGCCUGAUGCAGCGACGCCGCGUGAGGGAUGACGGCCUUCGGGUUGUAAACCUCUUUCAGUUGGGAAGAAGCCUUUCGGGGUGACGGUACCUUCAGAAGAAGCACCGGCUAACUACGUGCCAGCAGCUGC
Molecule: ribosomal RNA, 489 nt
Filed under: uncultured bacterium
Lineage: Bacteria
Description: bacterial SSU rRNA
Rfam family: Bacterial small subunit ribosomal RNA
Source: RNAcentral